UCUACUUGACUGUGGACCAGUACAUGGAGGUAAAAAUCUAAUUUAGCAGCUCAUUCUGGUGUUAAUGUAAUUUUGUGCUAACGCUUAGAUGCAGGUAACUCUUCCAUGGAUGGAACACCGGUCACAGGCUUACAAGGCUUUGUGUGAGGUAUGGGCUUCGCCAGAGUGGAUUGAGAAGUCAAACAGGAAUCAACAUAGGCAGCACCAUCAGUAGGACGGGGACAUUGAUGAGGUCGUAGUCAACCAUACCUAUGGGGCUGAUGAACACAUUAGGUUGGCGAAGCGAAUGGAGGCUCAAACUGGAGUUGUCCUAAGCCUAAUCGAUGUUUAUAGGCGAGGGCAUAGAGCGAAAAACAAUGAAAUCUCCGAUGAGCUAUGUAGUCAAGCGACAGUUGAGUGUAUGGUUAGUUGUUGUUAGUAUUAAUGUUUUCUUGCCAUAUAGCUAUACAUUACAUGUGUGCUGAACCUUCGUAUGGAGAAGACUAUAAUUUGCGAUGAGCACUUACCAUCGACGCUGAAGUUGUGCAUUAUACUGGAGGAAAGACCCAUGGACGGUAUUAACUUGUGAAUUUUUUUCAAUAAUAUUGAAACUAUGACCGAAUAGCUAAUUUUCUUGUUUUUCAAGAUAUUCUAUGUUUACCGGUGUGAUCGAUUCAACGAAGUUGCGGUCUCGUGGUGGCUCUUCGUCACAGGGGGUUGUGGUAGCAGCCGUAGUCGGCGCUCGAGCACGGAGGACGCUAUGAGGGAGAAGCAAGAAAGGUUUUGUGAAGAGCUGCGACAACAACAAAUGACAUUCCUCCAACAACAAUCAGAGUACAUGGCUGCUUACAACGCACAAGCGCAACAAGCAAUGAAUUCUUGGUUUCCAGAGCAGGCACAGCAGCAACC
Long non-coding RNA from Zea mays, 888 nucleotides. RefSeq lists it as uncharacterized. The transcript is spliced from 3 exons. NCBI's taxonomy places the organism in Eukaryota, Viridiplantae, Streptophyta, Magnoliopsida, Poales, Poaceae. The record is from RefSeq and is a predicted model, not a curated record.